Molecule: ribosomal RNA, 774 nt
Filed under: uncultured Neocallimastigales
Lineage: Eukaryota; Fungi; Neocallimastigomycota; Neocallimastigomycetes; Neocallimastigales
Description: partial large subunit ribosomal RNA
Rfam family: Eukaryotic large subunit ribosomal RNA
Source: RNAcentral
AUGUGAUCGUCUCUCGCAUAUCAAUAAGCGGAGGAAAAGAAACUAACAAGGAUUCCCCUAGUAACGGCGAGUGAAGCGGGAAGAGCUCAAAUUUGAAAUCUUAAAGGGUUUCCCUUUACGAAUUGUAGUUUAAAGAAGUGUUUUCUGUUGAGGUUUUGGUAAAAGUUCUUUGGAAUAGGACAUCAUAGAGGGUGAGAAUCCCGUAUUUGACCUUUACUUUCAGCUUUGUGAUACACUUUCAAAGAGUCGGAUUGUUUGGGAAUGCAGUCCAAAAUGGGUGGUAAAUUUCAUCUAAAGCUAAAUAUUGGCGAGAGACCGAUAGCGAACAAGUACCGCUGAGGGAAAGAUGAAAAGAACUUUGAAAAGAGAGUUAAACAGUACGUGAAAUUGUCAAAAGGGAAGCGUUUGACACCAGUGUUGUUUUUCUGAAAAUCAAUUAAAGAACUGUUUAUGCUAAGCUGUUUAGACUUUAUCAGCUAACUGUUUAGUUUUGAGCUUUUCUUUAAUGCACUUUUCAGUUAACAAGUCAACAUCAAUUUCUUUUGCUGUAAAAAAGCUUGAGGAAGGUGGCUUGAGAUUCGUCUUAAGUGUUUAUAGCCUCUUGCCUAUGCAGUCGGAGAGAUUGAGGUCUGCAGCGUAGAUCCUUCGGGGCUAAAUGCAUUUGUGCUAAGUUAUAGCAUUUUAUAGACAACUUGUUGACUAUGAUUUGUCUUGUAGCUUACUCGCUUAUGUUAUUUUACCUACGCUUAGGAUGUUGAGUCGUAGAGCACGCAG